RNAcentral lists this long non-coding RNA (1183 nucleotides) under Ursus maritimus (polar bear). RNAcentral's name for it is "lncRNA (ENSUMAG00000023374.1)". The record is from RNAcentral. Lineage: Eukaryota; Metazoa; Chordata; Mammalia; Carnivora; Ursidae.
AGAGUGCGCACUCUUCACAGUUAUCCUUGGUACUCCUUUAAAAGCCACUUCUGCACAGAAAGCAGUGUGGCGAGUUAGCUUACAAGACAAUGUGGAUCUGAGUUACAUCUGCUCGAUCAAUGUCAAACCUCAAAAAUCGCAAUUAACUAGGAAAAAAGUCUGUCGGAAUUAUAUUCCAUUUAGGAGAGAAACGUAUUUUGUGACCAUUCAAGUCCCUAUGCCUCCUCCUUUUUCGCAAGGUGUGGCAUCAAAUGUCUGCUAGCGGAAGCCUCUGGGUUUAACGGAAUGAAGACGAAUGGUGUGUAAGCAUUACGCGCUUUGAGUGAACACGGCGCUUCUGAAUCACUUGAAACCCUUUUCCCUGUUGACUCUGGCUGCCAACAUGAUGGUCCUUCAGUUUUCAGGAUCACGUCUGAUGUGUGGUGCACUCACCAUCCGGCAUGGAAACGAGGAUAUUGACAAAAAUAAGCCGUGUGAUUUUCCUGCUACAUCUCCUUUCUCUCCCCAGUUAAGGUAACAAUCAUCCUUAAAACUGUGUUCAUGUUAGUUUUAUUUUCUAUUUAAAUACUGCAGUUAAAUGUUUGACAAAGAAUAGCCCAAAUCACAUUUUAUGGCACACUAAAAACAAUUUUACGUCUUCCACGCGGAACUUGCAGUCAAAUAAGAAAACUAUGCCAUUUGCCAUCUAGAACUUGGGUAACUGGCCAAAUAUUACUCAAAGAGGACCCAGUUAAUAACGAGUUACAUGUGUACUUGUCUUCCCCUUUGUGCCGCACAGUGAAAUCGUGCCAAUUUUGAGAGACAGAACAUGGCCCUUCUUGCUCGCCCCCUAUUAUGAGUAAUUGGAUCAGGAAACAAUGAUUGGUUCCUUACCAGUGGAUAAACACUUCUUAGUAAAGAUCAAAACAACUUGCAUUUGGGAAAUCUAUUAGCCAUUUUUUUUUUGGUUACAAUUUUUUUUUUAUGGAAGUAUAGUUGACAUACAAGGUUAUAUUAGUUUCAGGUGUACGACAUAGUGAUUUGACAAUUCUGUACGUUACACAAUGCUGCUAUGAAAAGUGUCGCUACCAGCUGAUGUUAUGAUUGCUAAUUAAGUUUUCUAUGUUUGAUAUCUAUUUGGCUGAAAAUCUAGAAGGCAAUGAAGAUCUGACCUACUAAAUAAUAAACAUUCGCCAAAUUUUCA